This 1237-nucleotide ribosomal RNA is filed under the name uncultured organism. RNAcentral's name for it is "bacterial SSU rRNA". It matches the Rfam family "Bacterial small subunit ribosomal RNA", at positions 168 to 1408 of the family's 1533-position model. The record is from RNAcentral.
AUUCCAUAAAGUCAAUUUAAGGCAUCUUUUAUUGAUUAAAGCUCCGGCGGUUAGAGAUGGGCAUGCGUGUCAUUAGCUAGUUGGUGAGGUAACGGCUCACCAAGGCCACGAUGACUAGGGGGUCUGAGAGGAUGAUCCCCCACACUGGUACUGAGACACGGACCAGACUCCUACGGGAGGCAGCAGUGAGGAAUAUUGGGCAAUGGACGCAAGUCUGACCCAGCCAUGCCGCGUGCAGGAUGACUGCCCUAUGGGUUGUAAACUGCUUUUGUUUGGGAAGAAACCCCCGAUCGUGAUCGGGGCUGACGGUACCAUACGAAUAAGCAUCGGCUAACUCCGUGCCAGCAGCCGCGGUAAUACGGAGGAUGCAAGCGUUAUCCGGAUUCAUUGGGUUUAAAGGGUGCGCAGGCGGAAUAUUAAGUCAGUGGUGAAAUCCUGCAGCUUAACUGUAGAACUGCCAUUGAUACUGAUAUUCUUGAAUAUAGUUGAGGUAGGCGGAAUGUGUACUGUAGCGGUGAAAUGCUUAGAUAUUACACCAGAACAUCAAUUGCGAAGGCAGCUCACUAAACUAAUAUUGACGCUGAGGCACGAAAGCGUGGGUAGCAAACAGGAUUAGAUACCCUGGUAGUCCACGCUGUAAAACUAUGAUCACUCCCUGUUGGCAAUACAUCGUCAGCGGCUGAGCGAAAGCAUUAAGUGAUCCACCUGGGGAGUACGGUCGCAAGAUUGAAACUCAAAGGAAUUGACGGGGGCCCGCACAAGCGGAGGAACAUGUGGUUUAAUUCGAUGAUACGCGAGGAACCUUACCUGGGCUUAAAUGCAGAGCGACGUCCGCCGAAAGGUGGAUUCCUUCGGGCCGAUCUGCAAGGUGCUGCAUGGUUGUCGUCAGCUCGUGCCGUGAGGUGUCGGGUUAAGUCCCAUAACGAGCGCAACCCUUAUCGUUAGUUGCCAGCGGGUAAUGCCGGGGACUCUAACGAAACUGCCGGUGUAAACCGUGAGGAAGGUGGGGAUGACGUCAAAUCAGCACGGCCAUUAUGUCCAGGGCUACACACGUGUUACAAUGGUCGGUACAGAGGGCAGCUACCACGCGAGUGGAUGCUAAUCUCGAAAACCGGUCUCAGUUCGGAUUGAAGUCUGCAACUCGACUUCAUGAAGCUGGAUUCGCUAGUAAUCGCGCAUCAGCCAUGGCGCGGUGAUACGUUCCCGGGCCUUGACACACCGCCCGUCAAGCCAUGGA